UCCAUAUUUAUAGGCUCUAACAUCUCAUUUUACAAAUCAAAACAAAGUAUGAAUAUUACACAUAUGAAAUAAAUAUCAAAAUAUAUAGAUGUUUUCUUUACUUAUAGUUUGUGUGUCAGAGAGAGAGAGAGAGAGAGAGAGAGAGGGAAUAAUAAUCCAUCCUCCUCCUCGGUCUUCUUGUCCAUGUGUUGGUGGCUUCUUCGCCAAGGCCGGCCAUUGAUGAUGCAGUGGUCAGUCCACCUCAAAGCGCUCGAGGCCAUGUGUGGCUCGUCACUCACCACGAGAGGUCUCCCCCCCUCGCAGAUGGCCGAUGCCCCACCCUCUGUUUCUUCCUUCCAUCUUAUUUGCACGUACCAUUCACUGCAUGCCUCCACAUAACUCACACAAGACAACCUGUUGGUAUACCACCCAGUACGAGCUGCUCCCCUCACCUACCACCCCUUCUGCCUCUGCUCCGAGACAACAGCACGAGCAGAUGUGCCUCACGAGGCCUUCGCCUUUCCGUUCUUCCUCCCCCCCUGCUGCUGUUCAACAUGCCAACACCAUCGAAGAACACAGUAAGGGAUUUAGAAAGAAGAAAUCUGGAAAUGAAAACUUGGUUUGAGUAAACCAUGCAGAGGGCACAUGCGAAUGACUUGUGGGGAGAAGCUAAGCUUGAGAAAGAUUUAAAGGUAAGCAAGCAUUUCAUCUUUAUAUUUCAUAGUACAGGAAGUACCUUCUCUUUAUUCCCCAAACUCCAGUGAGAUUGAACGAUUUGAGAGUGUUCCCAUGGCAUUGAACUCCUCUGAAUCUGAUACCUGCAGAAAAUUUUGUGCAGCGAGGUUAUAAUGAAGCUCCAGAAUAGUACUCAUCUCUAUAAACUAGUCUUUGCCAUUGGGCAAAGAUACCAUUAACAAGGAAAACCAAGUUAACAUGUUCAAUCAGUUGCUCAACUAUCAAAAAAGUUGACAAAGACUUUUA
This 960-nucleotide long non-coding RNA is filed under the name Musa acuminata (dwarf banana). RNAcentral describes it as "long non-coding RNA (MACU_LNC002197)". Lineage: Eukaryota; Viridiplantae; Streptophyta; Magnoliopsida; Zingiberales; Musaceae. The record is from RNAcentral.